RNAcentral lists this ribosomal RNA (253 nucleotides) under uncultured bacterium. RNAcentral's name for it is "partial 16S ribosomal RNA". It matches the Rfam family "Bacterial small subunit ribosomal RNA", at positions 524 to 776 of the family's 1533-position model. The record is from RNAcentral.
UACAGAGGUCUCAAGCGUUGUUCGGAUUCAUUGGGCGUAAAGGGUGCGUAGGCGGCGCGGUAAGUCGGGUGUGAAAUCUCGGAGCUUAACUCCGAAACUGCAUUUGAUACUGCCGUGCUUGAGGACUGGAGAGGAGACUGGAAUUUACGGUGUAGCAGUGAAAUGCGUAGAUAUCGUAAGGAACGCCAGUGGCGAAAGCGAAUCUCUGGGCAGCAACUGACGCUGAGGCACGAAGGCCAGGGGAGCAAACGGG